Molecule: long non-coding RNA, 676 nt
Filed under: Mustela putorius furo (domestic ferret)
Lineage: Eukaryota; Metazoa; Chordata; Mammalia; Carnivora; Mustelidae
Description: lncRNA (ENSMPUG00000028342.1)
Source: RNAcentral
GCCAACAGCCUCACCAGCAUAGUCCUGGACGCCGGAGAGUGAGGGAGGCCCCUGUCUAGAGGAGAGGCCCUGGGGACCUUUGAUGAGUCCCCAGGUUGUGAGGAGAAGCAUAGGAGCCACAAACCAGUGGGACGUUGCAGCUGGACACCUUGGAGAAGGAGCUGAUAGCCCGGGAGCAGUACUGGCGGUGCCAGGAGCAGGAAGAGCUGCAUCUAGCCGAACGCCUGGGGCAGCUGAGUGUCGAGCUGCUCUCCGUCUCUGGCAAAGACGCCCGGAGGCAGCAGACAGAGAGGAGUGGGAGCAGGAGGCACAGAUGAUGCUAGGCGUGCAGAAAGUUCUGCGAACUUUAGCACAGACAGCAGAGAAGCUUAGGCAGGCGGGCGGCCGGCUGCAGGGCCAGGAGCAGGAGACGUGGCUGCAGCAGCAUAGUAGUCCGAGCCCGCAUGUCUGGAACCGUCCCUGGAAGGUGGCUGAGCGUCUCUCUGAGGAGUGUCGGGAGGUGGUAAGGCACAGACAGAACUUUCUGGAUAGGGCCCUAGGCCUCCUGCAGUACCAGCGGGAGCUGAGCCGCCUCCACCUCUUCCACACCCAGGUACGGCCUUGGACGUGGCCAUGGAGAUCUGCAUGUCCAGUUCAGUGGGGGCUUCGGAGGGUAGUUCCCAAAGCAGCCCCGUGA